ACCACAAACUGUGGCUCAGACAACAGGACGUCACCGUCCCACGGUUCUGGAGGCCAGAAGCCCAAGGCCAAGCUGUCAGCAGCGCUCACCCCUCUGAAACCUGCGGGGGGUGUUUCCAGGCCAUCGAGGCUCUCCUUCGCUUGUAGAUGCUUUGCUCUGCUCCUCCAUCGUCACGUGGCUGUCUCCCCAGUGUCUGUCUGCCUGUCUGUGUCCGGUUCUCUGCAUCUUAUAAGGACACCUGCCAUAUUGGAUUAAAGGCCCGUUUUAUCAUACCUAAUUCUGUCUUCAAAGACCCUAUUCCCAAAUGAGGUUGCAUUUGGGGGUACUGGCAAUUAGGACUUCAACAGAUCAUCUUGGGGGUAGGCAAUCCGACCCGUAACGUCCAUGGCUCUCCCUGUGUGUGAGCGUCUCCUGCCAAACGCGUUAAAAAGGCAGAUUCCCAACCCCACACCCAGAGACUCGGACUCAGCAGGUCUGGGAUUCAGUGCCGACCAUAUCCUCAGCCGUAGUCCUCAAAGAACACAGGGAUGAGUCAGAACCCAAAUAAAGGCUCGCCCUGUCCCUGGACCGCUGACCCAGACUGGACCAGGUGGAGGAGCCCGGGCUAUGAAGACAGCGGCUGACGCCACAAGCUUUGGGGGAUGGAGCCUUGGUCAGCUGCCUCUGGAGACAGCAGGUCCAUCAGGAAGGAAAGGAGCUCCAACGUGUGAAGUCACCCAGCCUCACUGCACCCUGCGAAGAGGAGCCUCCCUGGAAGUGAAAGGCUAAGGGCAGAUGCCGUGACAUCUCAAACCACACCUGCAUUAAGAACUUAAUGGAAAAUACAUGCAUUUCAGGAGCAGGAGUGAUUGUAUUAUGCCUAAUGCAUUUAGGACUGAAUAAAUUACAAUUUUCUGACAAA
Long non-coding RNA from Choloepus didactylus (southern two-toed sloth), 901 nucleotides. RefSeq lists it as uncharacterized. The transcript is spliced from 2 exons. The record is from RefSeq and is a predicted model, not a curated record. Lineage: Eukaryota; Metazoa; Chordata; Mammalia; Pilosa; Megalonychidae.